UACGUAGGGUGCGAGCGUUGUCCGGAAUUAUUGGGCGUAAAGAGCUCGUAGGCGGUGUGUCACGUCGUUCGUGAAAACCUGCAGCUUAACUGUGGGCGUGCGGUCGAUACGGGCAUCACUGGAGUUCGGAAGAGGAGAGUGGAAUUCCUGGUGUAGCGGUGAAAUGCGCAGAUAUCAGGAAGAACACCCGUGGCGAAGGCGGCCCUCUGGGACGGUACUGACGCUGAGACGCGAAAGCGUGGGGAGCGAACAGG
RNAcentral lists this ribosomal RNA (254 nucleotides) under uncultured bacterium. RNAcentral describes it as "partial 16S ribosomal RNA". It matches the Rfam family "Bacterial small subunit ribosomal RNA", at positions 524 to 776 of the family's 1533-position model. The record is from RNAcentral.